Molecule: long non-coding RNA, 5997 nt
Filed under: Homo sapiens (human)
Lineage: Eukaryota; Metazoa; Chordata; Mammalia; Primates; Hominidae
Description: non-protein coding lnc-NEUROD1-2:2
Source: RNAcentral
AGCUUACAACGGUCGCGGGACCCACAGGGACGCGGCCCGAGUGGCUCUGCUCCGGCGUCCCGUCCGCACGGAUCUCCCCCGGGACGCGGGCGGACCAGGGAGCACUCACCGGCAGUCCUUGAGCCAUAUCGCGAUCUUCUCGUUGGGCACGUUUCCUGGGGGUAGAGAGAGGGGACAGCACGUUACCACCCAGGAGCACUACGACGGCGGAGUCACCCUGGACCCUCCCAAGUAGGAAAAUCUACCACGGCAAAUGCAGCCUAAGCGACACGUCUCAGUGUCCCUUGGCAGGGAAAUCGGAUGGCACCCAGUUGUCUGUGUUGACGCUGGGGGCGCCUCGUUCAGCGCGCGCGUUUGAAGGUCGGAAGUGUCCCCUCUCCCCUCGGCCUACCGUGCCCGAGGCUCUCCCAGAACUCGUGGCAGGCGCCCAGGGCGCACGAGACUCUCCCCAGCCCACCAGCCUCCCCCCGGAGCCCGGCCGGGAGCACCGACCUCUUCCCCCCGCUGCCGGCAGCUGCGCGCCGGGGAGGUCCUCCUCCUCGUCCUCCUCCUCGUCCUGCGUCGUCGCUUCUGUGGACAGAUCCUCCGUCUCCGACGCUUGCCAGGAGCUGCGGCACUUGGCCCAGGCCUUCCUCCUGCGACUCGCCACUUGCCACUCCAGUUCCUCCUCCGCCUCCGCCGACGACGACAGGGGCCGGUCCAUGGCCGCACUGGGGGCUCCGCUACCCCAGCCGGACCCUGCGCGAGACAAGGCGGCGGCAGGGACCCCCGCCCUUGCUGUCAGCGCCCGGCCGGGCAGGGGGCCCCGGGGAGCUGAAGCGGGCGCCGGAGGAGGAGGAGGAGGAGGAGGGGACAGGGAGGGAGGGAGGGAAGGAAGGGGAGGGAAGGGGCGGAGGGCCGGCGCUUCACAUGAAGGCGGCCGGGCGCGCGCGGGAGCGCUAGUGGCCCGAGGGAGCGCGGCUGGGAGCCGAGCGCCCGCCCGGCCCCUGCUCCCCACCCCCUGCCUGACGCGCCCGGAGCAGGCCGGCCGCUGCGCGUCUGCGCGCCUUCCCUCGGCGGCGGCCCACGCCCCCUUCCGGCCGGGGCCGCGCGGGGCGCGGUAGGGCGGGGCGCGCCCGGCGCGACGCGGAGCAGGCCAGCCCCCGACUACUGCCCGCGGAAUGGGCAAGAUUAGUUUGUUAAUAAUCUUUCCUCCUCUCCUCCUCCUCCUCCCUCACCUAAAAAUAGAACGUAAGUGGGGAGGCCAAGUCUCACAAAACAUCCCCCGCGAGAAAACAAGUGUCUGCUUGGGCACCCUGAAACAUACACUUGAAAGAGUCGCCUGAAUAUAGACUCUUUAGUGUCCAAGGAAUUGGGGUAAGGACGGAAAGAGGUGCUUGAUUGGUGUUGCCAAAAUGUAAAAACUGCAAAAGACUAAGCUUCCUGGAGUGCUACUUUCAUACUUAAAGUUAUUUAUCGUGUUUAUGUUAUGAAUGAAAAUGAAUUGUGAAAGGAUAUUUAAUCUGGAAAUUUCACAUUGAAGUUGGACUUUGGUGAGGGAGAAUAGAGGAAACAAUUGGGACAAUGUGGAGAUAGUUGCUUGGAUUUUGGUGAGACAGCAUGAUACAAGAAACAAAUGAUGUCAGGGUUCAAAACUUUUUAAAGCCAGCUUUGGCAUUCCGUUUUGUUAUGUUUAAAUUCUCAUUAGCAAAAAUACUCAAAUUCUAUCCAAAACCAGACACAAUGUGACAGACCUAUCAAGCAGCAUUGUUCCCCUAAAUGUUACAUCUGAACUAUACAUAUAAGUAAGGCUUCCAAUAUUUUAUUGUACUUGGCUAUGCUCUGAAGAACAAGUUAGAACACUUUUUAAAAUCUUAACGUGAUUGAAAAGAAUAUUUUGCGUAGACAAAAUAUUUUAAGGAAGGAAUUAUUUUUCAUUUGAAAUUAAAAUCCAGAGCAUAGUAAAAUUCCUAAUGGAAGCAUUCGAAUUACAAGGUAAUUAAGUGCAUUGUCAUUGAUAGCUACAGGAAACCAUAACUUUUGGAGAAUUUGGAAUGAAGAAUGCUCUGGAGAUGAAAUAGUGCCUAGUUUUUGUCCAGGCAUUUACACAUAAGUCAUAGACUACUAAAAUAGCACACUGAUUUUCCUGCCUUCAUUCUUUCCUAUCUCCUUUCUAGCGCAUUGCUCUAGAUUUACAAUUCCAAGACAUCUUCUAAUGGUUUACUAAUAUCCCCAAGAUCAAAUCCAAAAUCCAGACUAGCUUUCCAGAACCAUCAUAAUAUUCUCCUGAGUCUCAUCUAUGUACUGCCAAAUGUCAGGGGAGUUAGAACAGUGAUAUUAAUAUCUCUAUGGCUUGAAAUUUCACUACUAGAAAAUCUUUUCUUUGAACCUAUAAGACUUUCUCAGCCUUCAAGGGUCCUGUAGUAGGAUGCAGCUAACAGUUUAAUGGCUCUCCAAAAUAGGUCAGAGUCUCGCUGCCUGUGUGGAAGAUGAAAAAGAGAAUGAAUAAAGAAGGUACCUAAGAAGAAGCAUUGAAAGGGCUGGUCAAGUGCCACAAAAUAUGCUGCCUUCAAAGUUUUAUCCAGGGUUCUUACGUAUCCACCCUGUUCCUCUGCUGCUCCCAGCUUCAAUUCUAUCAUAUCUAAGUGCUGUUGCCUACUCUGUCUUUGCUAAUUAAUUCAUUCCUGUUCUUUCUGUCCACUACCUUCAUGACUUUCAAAAUCUAGCUAAGCCAGAACUUUUUGACUCCACCAUUCCACCACUCCUGAUCACACCCCUCCCACAGGGAUCUGAUAUACAACAGCAUGUCUAUGUCAUUUAUUUGGGGACUGGAUUGUAGAGUAAAUAAUAUGACUGGCCCUGGAAGGUAUGUUUGGCUUACUAGCCAGAUUGUAAAUUGUGAGAGAUGAUAGAACAUUCUUCAGUAUUCUUGCACCCCUUACACUUUUAAAUGCUGAUCCCACAAGGGAUAAUGGGUCUUCUUGAGGUAGUUUCUGUUUUCUGUGUUCUUCAAAGAGACACCUAAAUUGAUUAUUUUAAAAUUUGCUUCAUGUUAUUUCUAUAAUGCUUAUAUUUUAUUUAGGUUUGCAGUUGUUUAAAUACACUUUCAGAUGACAACAACAAAGAAUUCUUGUGAAAGGCAAUAAUUAACCAUAGUUUAAAAAAAAAUCAAACAACCAGAGUCAAGUAAUAAGGGGGAAAAAUUACCAGCAGGUAACAAAGUAGAAUAUAUACAUUAUUCAGUUUCCGGUAGCACAAAUGUGUGCUUUCUUCUACAUGGCAUUUUUUAAUGAAAUAUGUUGAGGGUAUAGAAGUAAUAGAGAAGGAAAUCCUUGAAGUAGUAUGCUAUUGCCUUGAAAAGUAAGGUUUUUUCAUUGUAUUCUCAACUUUUACAGAUGUUUUAAAAUGCCCAAGGUAUUUCAUUUAUUCGAUAAUGAAUACUACACAUGAAGAAAGUCUGCAUGUUUGCUUCUUCGAGGAUUUUCUCCCAAACAAGUACUAUCUUGUACACCAACUGCAAAUAUACAUUGCGAAGCUCUACAUAAAGAGUAUUGUCUGGGCCAGGCAUGGUGGCUCACACCUGUAAUCCCAGCACUUUGGGAGGCUGAGGCGGGGCAGAUCACCUGAGGUCAGGAGUUUGAGACCAGCCUGACCAACAUGGAGAAACCCUGUCUCUACUAAAAAUACAAAAUUAGCCAUGCAUGGUGGCGAAUGCCUGUAAUUCCACCAACUUGGGAGGCUAAGGCAGGAGAAUAGCUUGAACCCAGGAGGCAGAGGUUGCGGUGAGCUGAGAUUGUGCCAUUGCACUCCAGCCUGGGCAAAAAGAGUGAAACGCUGUCUCAAAAAAAAAAAAAAAAAAGAGUAUUGUCUGAAUCAAUGAUGUUUGCAAGGUGGAAAAAGAAAGAAAUGUAUAUUAAAUGUGGAUAAUUCCAUCCAGCAUGACAUAGUGGAAGCAACGUGGUCUUUGGUGUUAGACUGAAGUUUGAAAUGUUUCCCUCUUUUUCUAGCUGUAUGGUAUAAGGCAAGACAGCUAAUAUCCCAAGGCCAUGACUUUUCUCAUCUUUGAAAUAGCAAUCAUGAUAACUACCUUCCCAAAUUGAUGUGAAUCUCACAAGAAAUAAUGUAGGUGCUCAGUAUAGCUAUUAGAAUGAUUAUAUUGCAGAAAGCAAAAAAUAAAUCAAUUUCAUAUGGGGGAAUAAUUCUCAUAUUAGCAAAUGGCAUCUAUCAUCAUGCUUAUGCAGCUGUAUUUUAAAAUUGGCAUAAGUUCAGGCAAAGAUAGAAAACGUAUACUUUGGUUAAAUCAGGCAGUUUUAUAUGGGAAAGCAUGAAUCAUAAGGGAAACAUUGUUCUUGGUUUAAUUAGAUAUUUAAAAUUGCAAAACAAGAUUUACUAUUGGGUAGGCUAAGCCAUUUUGGUUGUAGUUAUGGUAUUGUUUCUUUAAUAAUAUUUAUAUGCUCAAAAAUUGUAUUUUGUGCAUCAAAAUCUUAAUUAUUUAGAAUCUGAUUAGAGAGUGGUAGAGUUGCAGUUAUUUCUUCAAAUUCUCAUCUUUUGUUAAGACAAAAGGGGCCUCAGAGGUAUAAGGUUAAGUAGAAUAUCAGGUUAAAUGAACAAAGUAGCAUUUUAUAUUUUGAUAGUAUUGCCUGGAGAAAAAAAUUCUAUAUAAAAUAAGAAUGGAAAACACUGCAUAUUAUACCCCCUCCUCUUCCUCCACCCCAGCCCAGUCACAAUGAAUGUUAAAGACUUGAGACGUCUUCAAAACUUGUUUUUUAAAACUUUAAUUUUUUAAACCCAAUAGUUAUAAAAUUUAUUUCAACAGUAAAUCUUUUUGGCCCCUCAAUGUAUCCAUUAACAUUUCCAGGGAUACCAGUGAAAUAAUUUGCAAUAGCAUAAAAGAGAAUAAAAGAAAAAAUAUUAAUAAAUAAGAGUAAACACUUCAAAAAUUUUCAGAGAUUUAUUUACAAAUCAUGUAAUUGAACUAUGAGGAAUGCUGGUUAGUCUGACUUAGAUUGGGUUAUUGAUAUAUUCCUCUAUUUUUGAGACCAUUAUUAAUUAUUAAAGUAUUUCUGAUUUUAGUAUUUCUGGUUAUUGUAUAUAUGUUAAAGCAAUAGAAUUACAUGUUUAAAGCCUAUAAACCUUUGAUCUUAGAGUUCUUCCAUAUUAGCAAAAAUUCAAGGAUUUUUAGAUUAGUUUCUUUUCCUCAUAAGGAAGCAUUAAUAUGUAGAAUAGUCCGUUAUUUUGAUUUCUCUUAUUUUCCCAAGUACAGAUAAGAAGGAGAAGCAGGUGUUAAUACCACUAGAAUUUUGCCUUGCAAAUUAUUUAUACAGUCUGGGUAAAUUACCAGUUUAUAUACUUUCUGAUUUUGUGCAUGUUAAAAGCUUGUCGUUUUAUCACUCAUUCUCAGAUCACAAUUUAUUCAGUUUGCCACAUAAUGCUAAAUUUACUCUUUUCUCAGUGAAACCUUGUGGCCAGUUUGUUUUCUUUUCAGUGGCUCAAUUCUCUGGUGUUUCUGAGCAACAGGUAAGAAUGGCUCAUCUAUUCUUAACAAUGAAGUGAAGCAAGAUUAUGUAACAGAAUAGACUAUUUGUUCUGUUUCACGAAUUCAUAAAACAACUCAAAGGAGUUUUGAAAUCCUUUUUACUGAACAUAGUUACACAUGAAUUACAAACAUUUUGGCUUUCUAUCUAUGAAGCCUAAUUCUCAAGUUUGGAUCAAUCCUUUUACUUUUUCUUCUCAGCCCUGCCCUAAAAUGUUGCUUUUAAAAGUCUCUGAUAUUUUGAAUCAUAAAAGCUUUUAAAAAGGUAUAUCUGUCCAUAUGAAAUGCACAGUCUAUACCCAUGCCAGAUGAUAUUAAGAAUUUUUCUGCAACACACAACCGAACAGGAGGAUGUCAUUAUUCCCAGUGUUAGCACUGUCCUAUUAUAUAGUUAAUUUCUCUUCCAUAUUUAAGAUUAUAUUCUAGCUCUUUUGUUUAUGUAUAUGAUUACUUUCUCUUUGGAGCCAUUUAGAACUUUAAAAAAA